AUUAAACACAUAGAUUUAUUGAACUUUUUUCUGAUUGGGGCUGAAAUGUUUAUUAGAAAACCCAUUGGUACUCUUAAGGCCUUAGACUACUUUUUGUUUCACAAAAACAAACAAAAAAAAAACCCGCUAAACUUCAAUUCUUAAAGCUCAUUGGACGUUGACCUUUUCAAUCUCCGCCUAGUUUAAAAUACCUUACCGAAGUGUUGUAAUCUGAUACAUCGGUGGUGUUAGCGCCAACGAACUGUGUAGUUCAGUAAAUAAUCUACAUCAUAGGUUUUGUUGAAGACACGCCCGGGGAAAAACUACAACUCCCCGCCUGCAUACACAGAUUAUUUUAACACAGCCAAUAAGAACGCUGGAACGAACACCACCAGAAAGAGGCUCGAUAGAUUAACCCAGGAAGGAACAAUAGCGACAUGCACAGAGAUUUUUCGUCUUUACCAUAUGGGUUUACUUUAACAUAUGCAUUUAGAAUAGUUAUUAUGGAGCUGCGUACAUCCUUAAACUUAAUUUGUUCAGCCGGUGGUAAAAAAUCACCUUUUUGUCACCUAAUAAAAAAAACAAAACAGUUUUAACCUUCAGAACAGGCCCAUGUCAUACCCUAAAGUAUGUUCUAGUGCGGCAAAUCGCCCGUAUUAAUAAAUUUAGGUCGUAACCCUUCGUCUUUAAACCAUUUAGUGGUACAGCACGCCAGCAACGCCUCCUUACAACCAUCAAAUUACAUGUCCGUUCUUUGUAGUCUCAGACUAACACUAAACGUCACUGACUCAGAUGAAUAAUCCAGGCUAGGCUAUAUUGAAUGCGUUCUCUUGGAGGGGGAAAGAGUGCCGCGGAUAGGCUAUAAAAUAGACGAACAGCAUGGCUGGUUACCCAUAGUUGAAACAGAAAAGAUAGCCACAUUUGAACUUGAUUAAUGGGAUAUACCCUCAUCAAGGCUGGAUCAGGACAGAGGCUCAAGGUUUACCCGUGUGCUCCAAGGUGAGACUGAAAGAAUGGAGCUGAAGCUGAUAACUCAGAUGCACUUCCUUCCUGUGCAGAGCUUUUUCAUGGGAAAAAGAAUGGCUACAGCUGGCCAUGGGAGGUCAGCGGUUCACAGGCUUUACCAUGUGAGCCUAGCUGCUGCAUCAGUAAACCAUCCAAUGGCGCUGAUGAGCACUGAGUGUUUUUGGGCACAGUACAAAGCAGCAGUCCUCACAGUAUCAAGCUCACAUUCAGGGGUGACAGGUAAGAGGAUUGUUCGUAGCAAGCUGUCAUCAAGUGUGGCAGGACUUUAUCAUUAUGACUGCUCAGAUCCCUGCCUUUUCUAACUGGGUAUAACUGGGUCCGAUUUCUGCUGCUCCUAUCAAGAUUUCCUGAGUAAUUCAGCAGCAAUGAUGUCAUGUCGAUGGCGAAGAAGCACGCUUCAUCCCUGGCAGCUUCAUGCUGGCCAAAGCUUUGGUUGAGGUGCAAGUGGCCUCCCUUACCUGCAGCUGACCCUGCACCAAGCUAAGUGAUACUAAUGGGAGUGUGACCUCCUGACUGAGAGAAAGUGCCUUACCAUACAUGGACUUGGUUGAGGAAAGGAGAGAAGUACAAGAGGCAGCUUCAGGAAGCAGAGGACUGCCAGUCAAAUGGCUCUGUGCAAGAGGAGGAGGUCCCAUGGAACUGCUCUGUCAUGGCCCAAUUACAGCUCCCCUUCGUCAGGAAUUUACAAGGGAGGGAAAGAGGUGUGAAGUUAAACAUGCUGCACAAACAUGACACAGGAACUGUAGUUGCCGUGCAGCCAUUUCAUAACUCGCUCUUCUCCAGCCUGGAAGGGAAUGUCCACUGUCUCAGGAACAGCUAUGAGCUGCAAAAUGUUUGUCUCAUACACAAUACACCUUGGUUACAAAAGCCACUUGGCGUCAGUGCAACAACAGAAUAUUAACAGAUCAGGAAUAAAACUAUAUGAACCUGGGUUGCAAUAAGAGGUUCUGUGUCCAAAUGACAGUCUGUACUUUACACCCUCUUAAUCUCUUUACCUCUCAGGUCUUACAAGUCAAAAACAUAAGGUCAAUGACUAUGAGAGUUGUUGCAGGGUGAAAUGCACUGGAGUGGUCUAGUCACUUCUGCCUCUUUUCGUUUUGCUUAAUUGACUGGUAUUGCCUGAGGUUGGCAUCCUUUCUCAAAGGAAUUUGUUGUAUUGUACACAGUGUCUCUGAGAAAUUACUGUAGCUGUAAUACAUGUAAAACAUAUCAGUAAUUUUCUUCUAAACAUAUUUUUAUAUUAUGAAUAAUUUGCCAGUACUGGCCAUUAGCAUUUUAUUAUCAGCAGGGUAGGAGUAAACAGCAAGCUAAACCAUUGGUUACAAUGGUUACUAUCAUAAAAUAUGGAAUAUAAAAUUCAUAAUUUAACAAGAGGAAGGAUUAGAAACAAAAGUUUUGUUUGGGGUAUUAUAUAAUGCAAAGUGCUAAUGAAAAUACUAAUAUCCUAGACAUAUUUUGACGAUUGUGCAUCGCCAUAGUUAUGUUUGUGGUAGAGACCAGGAACACCAGUUUGUGUGAAGGAGACAAUUGUCCCAUCAACAAAUGUCCAGCCCUAGGCCUACCUAAAGCACUCUGCCAUAGAGCUGGCAUUGUUUAUAUAUUUCACAAGUAAAUGUAAACCACAUCAGUAAGCAGUCAGAAUCCUUAGCAACAAUAAAUACAGUUGUCAACUUUUAAUACUGUGGAAUUUGUUUGGUUUGGAGCAUGACCUGCUCUUUUCAGGUCAUUCGAUGUCAUUUUGCAUUACGGUUUAAAUUCCAGACUCUGCCAUUUUAAAUUCUCUCUCAUUCAUUUCAGAUUUGUUUUUUGUUUUUUUAAAUCAUUUUCUUUUUGCAUGACCCAGCUUCAGCUAAAAGAUUUUCCAUUAUCUUGUACAAACCAUUUCGAACACCACUUAUGCGUCUACCAAUGGCAGCAGGUCAGCCUGAACUUGGUUCAGCACUAUCACAACCAUGCUUAGCUGCUGCUAUGAUCUUGGGGCUGCAAAUUUUCGUCUGACUGAUGGUAAGUCUGUCCUUAGGACAUUGUGGCAUGUGUUUUGAGCUGGAUGUGUCUUCAGGCUUGCUGCUGCUUACACUGUUGUCCUCAUGAACCCUGACCUUUCCCAGGUGUAAGAGGCCUGCAAAUGGAAACUGCUACUCAGAACUUGAUUAGCUCUGACCUGUACUUCACAGCUUAAAGAUCAGCGCUAUAUGGUGGAGAAUGUUCCAAGUGACAGUUGUGCUACAACACUGAAUUAUUCCUGAAAACUACUUUUUAGACCUGAAGAUUGUUUACAUGCCAAAAAGAGGGGGAACCUAAAGCAGAAAGCUAAAUAAAAUAAAAUUACUACUUGGUAUUGCUUUUUUUUCAGUCACCCUAAAUUUGCUAU
Molecule: long non-coding RNA, 3376 nt
Organism: Electrophorus electricus (electric eel)
Lineage: Eukaryota; Metazoa; Chordata; Actinopteri; Gymnotiformes; Gymnotidae
Source: RefSeq, a predicted model, not a curated record